UGGAUAGGAGACAAGAAGGCAUCUUCUUGUUUUUAAAAGACCUAGCAAUAGGUAUGCUUAGGGAGGAGCUUGCGUCACAUUAGUUAGUUGGUGGGGUAAAGGCCUACCAAGACUAUGAUGUGUAGCCGGGCUGAGAGGUUGAACGGCCACAUUGGGACUGAGACACGGCCCAAACUCCUACGGGAGGCAGCAGUAGGGAAUUUUCGGCAAUGGAGGAAACUCUGACCGAGCAACGCCGCGUGAACGAUGAAGUAUUUCGGUACGUAAAGUUCUUUUAUUAGGGAAGAAUAAAUGAUGGAAAAAUCAUUCUGACGGUACCUAAUGAAUAAGCCCCGGCUAACUAUGUGCCAGCAGCCGCGGUAAUACAUAGGGGGCAAGCGUUAUCCGGAAUUAUUGGGCGUAAAGGGUGCGUAGGCGGUUAAAUAAGUUUAUGGUCUAAGUGCAAUGCUCAACAUUGUGAUGCUAUAAAAACUGUUUAGCUAGAGUAAGAUAGAGGCAAGUGGAAUUCCAUGUGUAGUGGUAAAAUGCGUAAAUAUAUGGAGGAACACCAGUAGCGAAGGCGGCUUGCUGGGUCUUUACUGACGCUGAGGCACGAAAGCGUGGGGAGCAAACAGGAUUAGAUACCCUGGUAGUCCACGCCGUAAACGAUGAGUACUAAACGUUGGGUAAAACCAGUGUUGAAGUUAACACAUUAAGUACUCCGCCUGAGUAGUACGUACGCAAGUAUGAAACUUAAAGGAAUUGACGGGACUCCGCACAAGCGGUGGAUCAUGUUGUUUAAUUCGAAGGUACCCGAAAAACCUCACCAGGUCUUGACAUGCUUCUGCAAAGCUGUAGAAACACAGUGGAGGUUAUCAGUUGCACAGGUGGUGCAUGGUUGUCGUCAGCUCGUGUCGUGAGAUGUUGGGUUAAGUCCCGCAACGAGCGCAACCCUUAUUGUUAGUUACCAGCACGUAAUGGUGGGGACUUUAGCAAGACUGCCAGUGAUAAAUUGGAGGAAGGUGGGGACGACGUCAAAUCAUCAUGCCCCUUAUGACCUGGGCUACAAACGUGAUACAAUGGCUGUUACAAAGGGUAGCUGAAGCGCAAGUUUUUGGCGAAUCUCAAAAAAACAGUCUCAGUUCGGAUUGAAGUCUGCAACUCGACUUCAUGAAGUUGGAAUCGCUAGUAAUCGCGAAUCAGCAUGUCGCGGUGAAUACGUUCUCGGGGUUUGUACACACCGCCCGUCAAACCACGAAAGUUGGUAAUA
RNAcentral lists this ribosomal RNA (1249 nucleotides) under Sesame phyllody phytoplasma. RNAcentral's name for it is "bacterial SSU rRNA". It matches the Rfam family "Bacterial small subunit ribosomal RNA", at positions 170 to 1419 of the family's 1533-position model. Lineage: Bacteria; Bacillati; Mycoplasmatota; Mollicutes; Acholeplasmatales; Acholeplasmataceae. The record is from RNAcentral.